CCUUAUGUGGCUAAGAGGGUAAAGCAUCUGCCUGCAAUGCUGUAGACCUGGGUUCGAUUCCCCGGGUCAGGA
Molecule: transfer RNA, 72 nt
Filed under: Ovis aries (sheep)
Lineage: Eukaryota; Metazoa; Chordata; Mammalia; Artiodactyla; Bovidae
Rfam family: tRNA
About the family: Transfer RNA (tRNA) molecules are approximately 80 nucleotides in length. Their secondary structure includes four short double-helical elements and three loops (D, anti-codon, and T loops).
Source: Rfam by way of RNAcentral